AAAUGCUCUACUCUCUUCUCUUUUCCUUGCUGUCCCCGGGGCUGGAGGAGCACAGGCCUCCCAGUCAUGGGGCCUUGGCCUUGUUGGACUCCCAUCUCCUUCCAAAGGUUGAGCCUGGGGGGCCCAGAAGUGAGAGUUUCAAAUGCCGUACAGGACUUCCCUGGUGGCGCAGUGGUUAAGAAUCCGCCUGUCAAUGCGGGGGACAUGGGUUUGAGCCCUGGUCCGGGAAGAUCCCACAUGCCGCGGAGCAGCUAAGCCGAUGCGCCACAACUACUGAACCUGUGAGCCACAACUACUGAAACCCGUGCGCCUAGAGCCCGUGCUUGGCAACAGGAGAAGCCACCGCCAUGAGAAGCCCGUGCACCGGAACGAAGAGUAGCCCCUGCUCGCCGAAACUAGAGAAAGCCUGAGUGCAGCAAUGAAGACCCAGUGCAGCCAAAAAUAAAUAAAAUUUUAAAAAUGCAGUACACAAAACUAAUACAGUAUUAUAUGCCAUUUAUACCUCAAUUUUUAAAACUAUGUCUCCUUUGACAUUAAAAGAGGUGAGUCAAAAAUUUCUGUGACCCGGCUCAGCCAAAUAAAUGAAUAAAUAAUUUUAAAAAUUCUGUGUAUACUUCAAUAAAAAAAUAAAAAUUUUAAAAUUAGAAAAGUUUCCUGCACCUACAUUAGAGCAUCUAAAUAAUUAUCUGGUCUCUUUCCCAAUGAGUUAAGAUCGAAAGCUAUGCCAUUUUCUUUUUUUUUUCCUCUGUGUAUUUGUGCUUUUUUUGAAUUUUAUUUAUUUAUUUUUUAUACAGCACGUUCUUAUUAGUUAUCUAUUUUACACAUAUUGGUGUAUAUAUGUCAAUCCCAAUCUCCCAAUUCAUCCGCCAUUCUCCAUAUUACUUAUAAUUGAAGAAUUUUUUAUUUCUAUUUUAGGUAACUUCUGAUCCUAUUCAUUAGUGUCUACAGGGAGGUGCACAAGGUUUUUGACUCAGCCUGCAUUUGGUUGUGGUGAUUUUCUUUUCACUAUCACUCUCUUAAUAGUCAAAAUUAGACUUGGAAAAUUAAAUAUAGAGAAAGAAUUUAUAGCAUUUUACUUUCUUUCCCUUUGAACAUUUACUUCUGCAGAAGUAGGACUUUCUCCUACAUAGUUUUCAUUUAAGGUGGAAAAAUAUAUUUUGUUCUUUACUGUUGCAGGAUGUUUUCUAGAAGCAAGCAAACGUGAAAGCAUGAGAACUGCCACCUGGAGCCAGCACUACAGUCCAUCCAGCCCAGCAAACGACCUUUAACUCAAAUCUUCCCCCAACUAUUCCAGUGGACACUCCCCUCUAGUGUCCCUGGAAAAAAAAAAAAACACAAAA
Molecule: non-coding RNA, 1340 nt
Organism: Globicephala melas (long-finned pilot whale)
Lineage: Eukaryota; Metazoa; Chordata; Mammalia; Artiodactyla; Delphinidae
Source: RefSeq, a predicted model, not a curated record